Molecule: long non-coding RNA, 608 nt
Filed under: Nicotiana benthamiana
Lineage: Eukaryota; Viridiplantae; Streptophyta; Magnoliopsida; Solanales; Solanaceae
Description: long non-coding RNA (NBEN_LNC012100)
Source: RNAcentral
AGAAUUGCUUGCCACAGGUGAUCAUUGUGAAGCUUCGAAAAUAUAUUCAAUCCCUUAUGGCAUCUGUUUUUGCCAAUUGAAUCGCCCUCGGGAAACAGAGUCCUAAAACCAGGAAAGCAGCCCACAGGUAGAAUUCCAGAAACCAUGAGUGUUUUGGCUCCAGCUUCGUUGAUGAGUCUCUCUAUUGAAUUCUUAAUUGUCUCCACCACUUCAGGGACGAGAAGGGACGCCUCAGAAAUAGAUUUUCCAUGUAAGAAGGCAUGCUUGUAAUCGUUGAUGCCGGGUUGAUCCAUAAAGAUGAGCGCCUUCGGAAGAAGCUUGUUAUUUCUGCCGCAGUCAUGAAAAGAGAAGCAAUCUUCAUAGAAGAACCUCAUGAAGGUAGAAAUCUGAGAUAGGUCAUGUGACUGUAGAGGCGCUGGGAUGCCAUUCUUGAGGAAGAAAAAAUCUUCAUAAAAGAACCUCAUGAAGGUAGAAAUCUGAGAUCGGUCAUGUGACUGUGGAGGCGCUGGGAUGCCAUUCUUGAGGAAGAAAAAGGGCUCCAUGAAAGUCGCUCUGGGCGUCGCAAAACUCAGGCCAGACUCGAAGAAUUCAGUGCCUCGUUGAGUGUA